GAUGAACGCUGGCGGCGUGCCUAAUACAUGCAAGUCGAGCGAACAGACGAGGAGCUUGCUCCUCUGACGUUAGCGGCGGACGGGUGAGUAACACGUGGAUAACCUACCUAUAAGACUGGGAUAACUUCGGGAAACCGGAGCUAAUACCGGAUAAUAUAUUGAACCGCAUGGUUCAAUAGUGAAAGACGGUUUUGCUGUCACUUAUAGAUGGAUCCGCGCCGCUUUAGCUAGUUGGUAAGGUAACGGCUUACCAAGGCAACGAUGCGUAGCCGACCUGAGAGGGGGAUCGGCCACACUGGAACUGAGAAAGGGUCCAGACUCCUACGGGAGGAAGCAGUAGGGAAUCUUCCGCAAUGGGCGAAAGCCUGACGGAGCAAGGCCGCGUGAGUGAUGAAGGUCUUCGGAUCGUAAACCUCUGUUAUUAGGGAAGAACAAAUGUGUAAGUAACUAUGCACGUAUUGACGGUACCUAAUCAGAAAGCCACGGCUAACUACGUG
This 497-nucleotide ribosomal RNA is filed under the name uncultured bacterium. Its description in RNAcentral is "partial 16S ribosomal RNA". It matches the Rfam family "Bacterial small subunit ribosomal RNA", at positions 28 to 507 of the family's 1533-position model. The record is from RNAcentral.